AUUGAACGCUAGCGGGAUGCCUUACACAUGCAAGUCGAACGGCAGCAUAAGAGAGCUUGCUCUCUUGAUGGCGAGUGGCGAACGGGUGAGUAAUGUAUCGGAACGUGCCCAGUAGCGGGGGAUAACUACGCGAAAGCGUAGCUAAUACCGCAUACGCCCUACGGGGGAAAGGAGGGGAUCUGCAAGGACCUUUCACUAUUGGAGCGGCCGAUAUCGGAUUAGCUAGUUGGUGAGGUAACGGCUCACCAAGGCGACGAUCCGUAGCUGGUUUGAGAGGUGAACGGCCACAUUGGGACUGAGACACGGCCCAG
RNAcentral lists this ribosomal RNA (311 nucleotides) under uncultured bacterium. RNAcentral's name for it is "bacterial SSU rRNA". It matches the Rfam family "Bacterial small subunit ribosomal RNA", at positions 30 to 334 of the family's 1533-position model. The record is from RNAcentral.